Molecule: ribosomal RNA, 1074 nt
Filed under: Staphylococcus aureus
Lineage: Bacteria; Bacillati; Bacillota; Bacilli; Caryophanales; Staphylococcaceae
Description: partial 23S ribosomal RNA
Rfam family: Bacterial large subunit ribosomal RNA
Source: RNAcentral
AAGCGACGGUAAGACGUCGUGGAGGACCGAACCCACUUAGGUUGAAAACUGAGGGGAUGAGCUGUGGAUAGGGGUGAAAGGCCAAUCAAACUUCGUGAUAGCUGGUUCUCUCCGAAAUGCAUUUAGGUGCAGCGUUGCGUGUUUCUUGCCGGAGGUAGAGCUACUGGAUGGCCGAUGGGGCCCAAAAGCUUACUGACGUCAGCCAAACUCCGAAUGCCGGUAAGUGAGAGCGCAGCAGUGAGACGGUGGGGGAUAAGCUUCAUCGUCGAGAGGGAAACAACCCAGACUACCAACUAAGGUCCCUAAGCGUGUGCUAAGUGGGAAAGGAUGUGGAGUUGCAUAGACAACCAGGAGGUUGGCUUAGAAGCAGCCACCCUUGAAAGAGUGCGUAAUAGCUCACUGGUCAAGUGAUUCCGCGCCGACAAUGUAACGGGGCUCAAGCACACCACCGAAGUUGUAGAUUUCGUAUUAUAGACAAGCCUUCGUGGUUCAGUCGUACGGAGUGGUAGGAGAGCGUCGUGUGGCCAGUGAAGCGGCGGUGUAAACCAGCCGUGGAGGCCACACGAGUGAGAAUGCAGGCAUGAGUAGCGAAAGACGGGUGAGAAACCCGUCCUCCGAAAGACCAAGGGUUCCAGGGCCAGGUUAAUCCGCCCUGGGUAAGUCGGGACCUAAGGCGAGGCCGACAGGCGUAGUCGAUGGACAACGGGUUGAUAUUCCCGUACCGGCGAAGAACCGCCCAAGCUAAUCCAGUGGUGCUAAGAGUCCUAACCCGGCUGAGUGGAUCCCUUCGGGGUGAUGCCGGCCGGUCUAACGCUCGACCCCAUGCUGGUGCGGUUAACGUAUUAACAGGUGUGACGCAGGAAGGUAGCUGAGCCAGGCGAUGGUAUCCGUAAGGUGAACCUGGUGUAAGGAUGUAGGGCUGACGAUAGGCAAAUCCGUCGUCAAUGCGCCUGAGAUCCGAUGCGUACCCCGAUUGGGGGAAAUCAGUGAUCCUAUGCUGCCGAGAAAAGCAUCGACGUGAGGUUCAAGCCGCCCGUACCCCAAACCGACUCAGGUGGUCAGGUAGAGAAUACC